This 1437-nucleotide ribosomal RNA is filed under the name uncultured organism. Its description in RNAcentral is "16S ribosomal RNA". It matches the Rfam family "Bacterial small subunit ribosomal RNA". The record is from RNAcentral.
GCUUAACACAUGCAAGUCGAGGGGCAGCAUUUUAGUUUGCUUGCAAACUGAAGAUGGCGACCGGCGCACGGGUGAGUAGCACGUAUCCAACCUGCCGAUAACUCCGGAAUAGCCUUUCGAAAGAAAGAUUAAUACCGGAUGGCAUACGAAUAUCGCAUGAUAUUUUUAUUAAAGAAUUUCGGUUAUCGAUGGGGAUGCGUUCCAUUAGUUUGUUGGCGGGGUAACGGCCCACCAAGACUACGAUGGAUAGGGGUUCUGAGAGGAAGGUCCCCCACAUUGGAACUGAGACACGGUCCAAACUCCUACGGGAGGCAGCAGUGAGGAAUAUUGGUCAAUGGGCGCGAGCCUGAACCAGCCAAGUAGCGUGAAGGAUGAAGGCUCUAUGGGUCGUAAACUUCUUUUAUAUGGGAAUAAAGUUUUCCACGUGUGGAAUUUUGUAUGUACCAUAUGAAUAAGGAUCGGCUAACUCCGUGCCAGCAGCCGCGGUAAUACGGAGGAUCCGAGCGUUAUCCGGAUUUAUUGGGUUUAAAGGGAGCGUAGGUGGAUUGUUAAGUCAGUUGUGAAAGUUUGCGGCUCAACCGUAAAAUUGCAGUUGAAACUGGCAGUCUUGAGUACAGUAGAGGUGGGCGGAAUUCGUGGUGUAGCGGUGAAAUGCUUAGAUAUCACGAAGAACUCCGAUUGCGAAGGCAGCUCACUAGACUGUCACUGACACUGAUGCUCGAAAGUGUGGGUAUCAAACAGGAUUAGAUACCCUGGUAGUCCACACAGUAAACGAUGAAUACUCGCUGUUUGCGAUAUACAGUAAGCGGCCAAGCGAAAGCAUUAAGUAUUCCACCUGGGGAGUACGCCGGCAACGGUGAAACUCAAAGGAAUUGACGGGGGCCCGCACAAGCGGAGGAACAUGUGGUUUAAUUCGAUGAUACGCGAGGAACCUUACCCGGGCUUAAAUUGCAACAGAAUAUAUUGGAAACAGUAUAGCCGUAAGGCUGUUGUGAAGGUGCUGCAUGGUUGUCGUCAGCUCGUGCCGUGAGGUGUCGGCUUAAGUGCCAUAACGAGCGCAACCCUUAUCUUUAGUUACUAACAGGUCAUGCUGAGGACUCUAGAGAGACUGCCGUCGUAAGAUGUGAGGAAGGUGGGGAUGACGUCAAAUCAGCACGGCCCUUACGUCCGGGGCUACACACGUGUUACAAUGGGGGGUACAGAAGGCGGCUACCUGGUGACAGGAUGCUAAUCCCAAAAACCUCUCUCAGUUCGGAUCGAAGUCUGCAACCCGACUUCGUGAAGCUGGAUUCGCUAGUAAUCGCGCAUCAGCCAUGGCGCGGUGAAUACGUUCCCGGGCCUUGUACACACCGCCCGUCAAGCCAUGAAAGCCGGGGGUACCUGAAGUACGUAACCGCAAGGAGCGUCCUAGGGUAAAACUGGUAAUUGGGGCUAAGU